CAGGCAACAAACAGUCUUGGCAAGCCUCUAAUAUAAACACUCAAAGCAUAUGCAUGUUCAAAUCAAAAGGUCUUUUAUGGAUGCAAUGGGGCCAAGGACAAGGGAGGAUAUGAUAUGGAUGAGAAGUUACAAACCAAAGGGAAAUAGAGGAGCAAUGGGGAACAAGUGAAAACACAGUAUACGCACACCCAAAACCCUUUAAUUCAAUCCUAUUCUUGUCUCCAUUAUUCACAAUUUUUUUAUUUUUCUCUGUUUCUUUUUUUUUUCAUCUUGUUUCUUUUCUUUCCUCUCUUUUCAGAACACAAAUCUAAGAGACAAGAUACACAACAUAUUCACAAAAACAAGAAGAGGAACCAAC
This 358-nucleotide long non-coding RNA is filed under the name Vigna radiata. Its description in RNAcentral is "long non-coding RNA (VRAD_LNC011137)". Lineage: Eukaryota; Viridiplantae; Streptophyta; Magnoliopsida; Fabales; Fabaceae. The record is from RNAcentral.